Molecule: long non-coding RNA, 149 nt
Organism: Homo sapiens (human)
Lineage: Eukaryota; Metazoa; Chordata; Mammalia; Primates; Hominidae
Source: Ensembl
GAAGACGAGGCCUUGGAGGAGCGGGAUGUGCCUGGGAGAGGUGGUCACCUACCGGGGUCACUGGGCAGCUUUGCAGAGAGCUCAGCGUGGUGCUUGUCACUCCUCGUUUAUGUGGUUGCUCCAUUUACAUUCCCCCAGUGGUCCAGGCA